RNAcentral lists this ribosomal RNA (948 nucleotides) under uncultured Gammaproteobacteria bacterium. RNAcentral's name for it is "bacterial SSU rRNA". It matches the Rfam family "Bacterial small subunit ribosomal RNA", at positions 247 to 1188 of the family's 1533-position model. The record is from RNAcentral. Lineage: Bacteria; Pseudomonadati; Pseudomonadota; Gammaproteobacteria.
AGUAGGUGGGGUAACGGCUCACCUAGGCGACGAUCCCUAGCUGGUCUGAGAGGAUGACCAGCCACACUGGAACUGAGACACGGUCCAGACUCCUACGGGAGGCAGCAGUGGGGAAUAUUGCACAAUGGGCGCAAGCCUGAUGCAGCCAUGCCGCGUGUAUGAAGAAGGCCUUCGGGUUGUAAAGUACUUUCAGCGGGGAGGAAGGGAGUAAAGUUAAUACCUUUGCUCAUUGACGUUACCCGCAGAAGAAGCACCGGCUAACUCCGUGCCAGCAGCCGCGGUAAUACGGAGGGUACAAGCGUUAAUCGGAAUUACUGGGCGUAAAGCGCACGCAGGCGGUUUGUUAAGUCAGAUGUGAAAUCCCCGGGCUCAACCUGGGAACUGCAUCUGAUACUGGCAAGCUUGAGUCUCGUAGAGGGGGGUAGAAUUCCAGGUGUAGCGGUGAAAUGCGUAGAGAUCUGGAGGAAUACUGGUGGCGAAGGCGGCCCCCUGGACGAAGACUGACGCUCAGGUGCGAAAGCGUGGGGAGCAAACAGGAUUAGAUACCCUGGUAGUCCACGCCGUAAACGAUGUCGACUUGGAGGUUGUGCCCUUGAGGCGUGGCUUCCGGAGCUAACGCGUUAAGUCGACCGCCUGGGGAGUACGGCCGCAAGGUUAAAACUCAAAUGAAUUGACGGGGGCCCGCACAAGCGGUGGAGCAUGUGGUUUAAUUCGAUGCAACGCGAAGAACCUUACCUGGUCUUGACAUCCACAGAACUUUCCAGAGAUGGAUUGGUGCCUUCGGGAACUGCGAGACAGGUGCUGCAUGGCUGUCGUCAGCUCGUGUUGUGAAAUGUUGGGUUAAGUCCCGCAACGAGCGCAACCCUUAUCCUUUGUUGCCAGCGGUCCGGCCGGGAACUCAAAGGAGACUGCCAGUGAUAAACUGGAGGAAGGUGGGGAUGACGUCAA